CAGUCGCCACGGUAAUACGGAGGGUGCAAGCGUUAAUCGGAAUUACUGGGCGUAAAGCGCACGCAGGCGGUCUGACAAGUCAGAUGUGAAAUCCCCGGGCUUAACCUGGGAACUGCAUUUGAAACUGUCAGGCUGGAGUCUUGUAGAGGGGGGUAGAAUUCCAGGUGUAGCGGUGAAAUGCGUAGAGAUCCGGAGGAAUACCGGUGGCGAAGGCGGCCCCCUGGACAAAGACUGACGCUCAGGUGCGAAAGCGUGGGGAGCAAACAGGAUUAGAGACCCGAGUAGUCCCUGUCUCUUAUAC
Molecule: ribosomal RNA, 301 nt
Filed under: uncultured bacterium
Lineage: Bacteria
Description: partial 16S ribosomal RNA
Rfam family: Bacterial small subunit ribosomal RNA
Source: RNAcentral